UACGUAGGUGGCAAGCGUUGUCCGGAAUUAUUGGGCGUAAAGCGCGCGCAGGCGGCCUCUUAAGUCUGAUGUGAAAGCCCCCGGCUCAACCGGGGAGGGCCAUUGGAAACUGGGAGGCUUGAGUAUAGGAGAGAAGAGUGGAAUUCCACGUGUAGCGGCGAAAUGCGUAGAGAUGUGGAGGAACACCAGUGGCGAAGGCGACUCUUUGGCCUAUAACUGACGCUGAGGCGCGAAAGCGUGGGGAGCAAACAGG
RNAcentral lists this ribosomal RNA (253 nucleotides) under uncultured bacterium. RNAcentral's name for it is "partial 16S ribosomal RNA". It matches the Rfam family "Bacterial small subunit ribosomal RNA", at positions 524 to 776 of the family's 1533-position model. The record is from RNAcentral.